UCAAAAUCUCCAUAGAAACCAGGGCCGGCUGAAGUACUGAAGCCGCACUCAGGCAGCUCGCCUUAGUCUGUAACAAAACAGCAACUGGGGGUUUAAACUGCAGACGUUUCCUCUCUCAUAGUUCUGGAGGCUGGGAGUUGGAGCUCAAGGUGCCAGCAGGGUCGGUUCGGGCAAGUGCCCUCUUCCUGGCUUGCCGGUCCCGGAGGCUGGGGAGGCACACCAGGCAAGCCCCUAACCCUUGCAAGCCAAGAUGUAGAUGGUGGUGUCGGGGAGGAGAGCAACAUGAACCUGCGUGUCUCUCCUUGGUCCGCAGCAUGGAUGCAGCCCGCCACCUGUGAACUCUGGCUGAAUGCCGCACGGAGGUGCCAGGGCGCCUCACCAAGGGAAGGGGAGCAAAGACUACUAUUUCUGAGGAGAUUCAAUUCAAGAGGAACAGGCUACAUAGACAUUUGGAAAGGAAAAUGUUUAGCAAGGAUACAAAGGUA
Molecule: long non-coding RNA, 485 nt
Filed under: Bos mutus (wild yak)
Lineage: Eukaryota; Metazoa; Chordata; Mammalia; Artiodactyla; Bovidae
Description: lncRNA (ENSBMUG00000003279.1)
Source: RNAcentral